Molecule: ribosomal RNA, 323 nt
Filed under: Aphaenops trophonius
Lineage: Eukaryota; Metazoa; Arthropoda; Insecta; Coleoptera; Carabidae
Description: Geotrechus trophonius partial 16S ribosomal RNA
Source: RNAcentral
UUAAAUGGCUGCAGUAAUUUGACUGUACAAAGGUAGCAUAAUCAUUAGUUUUUUAAUUAAAAGCUUGAAUGAAAGGUUGGACGAAGUAAAUUCUGUCUCUUUUUAAUAUAAUUAGAAUUUAAUUUUUAAGUUAAAAAGCUUAAAUUUUUAUAAAAGACGAGAAGACCCUAUAGAGUUUUAUAAUUUUUAGAAAAUAAUUAAUUUAGAUUUAUUAAUUUUAUUUUUUAUAUAUUAUUUUAUUGGGGUAAUAAUAAGAUUUAAUUAAUUCUUUUUUUUUAACCAUUAAUUUAUGAAGUAUAUGAUCCAUUAUUUAUGAUUAUAAG